Molecule: small nucleolar RNA, 106 nt
Filed under: Sorghum bicolor (sorghum)
Lineage: Eukaryota; Viridiplantae; Streptophyta; Magnoliopsida; Poales; Poaceae
Source: RNAcentral
ACAUCAGUUGUGUUCCUGCUGUAAAUAUGGACAGACAAUAGAGUUGAUGAAAUUUAGGUGAGCACUAUGUUAGUCAUAGGUGCUCACAAAGGACCAUCACACAUAC